This 484-nucleotide ribosomal RNA is filed under the name uncultured bacterium. RNAcentral describes it as "partial 16S ribosomal RNA". It matches the Rfam family "Bacterial small subunit ribosomal RNA", at positions 28 to 507 of the family's 1533-position model. The record is from RNAcentral.
AUUGAACGCUGGCGGCAUGCUUUACACAUGCCAGUCGAACGGCAGCGCGGGCUUCGGCCUGGCGGCGAGUGGCGAACGGGUGAGUAAUGCAUCGGAACGUGCCCAGUAGUGGGGGAUAGCCCGGCGAAAGCCGGAUUAAUACCGCAUACGACCUGAGGGUGAAAGCGGGGGACCGAAAGGCCUCGCGCUAUUGGAGCGGCCGAUGUCGGAUUAGCUAGUUGGUGGGGUAAAGGCUUACCAAGGCGACGAUCCGUAGCUAGUCUGAGAGGACGACCAGCCACACUGGGACUGAGACACGGCCCAGACUCCUACGGGAGGCAGCAGUGGGGAAUUUUGGACAAUGGGGGCAACCCUGAUCCAGCCAUGCCGCGUGCGGGAAGAAGGCCUUCGGGUUGUAAACCGCUUUUGUUCGGGAAGAAAUCCUCUGGGCUAAUACCCCGGGGGGAUGACGGUACCGGAAGAAUAAGCACCGGCUAACUACGUG